UAAGGAAUAUUGGUCAAUGGACGCAAGUCUGAACCAGCCAUGCCGCGUGAAGGAUGAAGGUCCUCUGGAUUGUAAACUUCUUUUAUCUGGGACGAAAACGGGAUUUUUAUCUCAAUUGACGGUACCAGAGGAAUAAGCACCGGCUACCUCCGUGCCAGCAGCCGCGGUAAUACGGAGGGUGCGAGCGUUAUCCGGAUUUACUGGGUUUAAAGGGUGCGUAGGUGGGCUUAUAAGUCAGUGGUGAAAUCUCCGAGCUUAACUUGGAAACUGCCGUUGAUACUAUAGGUCUUGAAUUAUCUGGAGGUAAGCGGAAUAUGUCAUGUAGCGGUGAAAUGCUUAGAUAGGACAUAGAACACCAAUUGCGAAGGCAGCUUACUACAUAUAAAUUGACGCUGAGGCACGAAAGCGUGGGGAUCAAACA
RNAcentral lists this ribosomal RNA (421 nucleotides) under uncultured bacterium. Its description in RNAcentral is "bacterial SSU rRNA". It matches the Rfam family "Bacterial small subunit ribosomal RNA", at positions 355 to 774 of the family's 1533-position model. The record is from RNAcentral.